CACCUGUGUUGCUGCCAACCAGGAUGGCAGCUUGAUCCUAACUGGCUCUGUGGACUGCCAGGCCAAGCUGGUCAGUGCCACCACCGGCAAGGUGGUGGGUGUUUUUAGACCUGAGACUGUGGCCUCCCAGCCCAGCCUGGGAGAAGGGGAGGAGAGUGAGUCCAACUCGGUGGAGUCCUUGGGCUUCUGCAGUGUGUGAGUGAGGAUGGGGAAAGGGGUUUGUGGGAGGGGCCUGGGCUGGGGGCCCGGGAGGACGGCAGGGCGUGUGAGUCCAGGCCCUCAUGAGUCUUCAUGGUACGCUCCUCUGGCCAGGAUGCCCCUGGCAGCUGUUGGCUACCUGGAUGGGACCUUGGCCAU
RNAcentral lists this long non-coding RNA (357 nucleotides) under Homo sapiens (human). Its description in RNAcentral is "HSALNT0047262". Lineage: Eukaryota; Metazoa; Chordata; Mammalia; Primates; Hominidae. The record is from RNAcentral.